This 357-nucleotide RNase P RNA is filed under the name Flavobacteriales bacterium. RNAcentral describes it as "RNase P RNA component class A". It matches the Rfam family "Bacterial RNase P class A". Rfam says of the family: Ribonuclease P (RNase P) is a ubiquitous endoribonuclease, found in archaea, bacteria and eukarya as well as chloroplasts and mitochondria. Its best characterised activity is the generation of mature 5'-ends of tRNAs by cleaving the 5'-leader elements of precursor-tRNAs. Lineage: Bacteria; Pseudomonadati; Bacteroidota; Flavobacteriia; Flavobacteriales. The record is from RNAcentral.
ACGGUUGACUUCAUCGCCUCAUGAAAGUGGGGAGGAAAGUCCGGACAGCAUAGAGUACCGUACUUCUCAAAAGGGAGGACCAUCAAACGUGAUGGGACAGAAAGUGCUAAAGAGAUUUAAACCGCCGAUGACUCGAGUCGCAAGAUUCAAGCACAGGUAAGGCUGAAAAGGUGAGGUAAGAGCUCACCAGUAAUGGAGUAAUCCAUUAGCUUAGGUAAACCUUGCGGGCUGCAAGACCAUGUAAACUAGUGCUUGAGGGUUACUCGCCCGAUGCUAGAGGGUAGGUCGCACUAGAUCAAUGAUGAAGCUUUUCGAAGUUUACUUUGAGAGGAACAGAAUCCGGCUUACACCGUAAAA